Molecule: RNA transcript, 1164 nt
Organism: Ziziphus jujuba (common jujube)
Lineage: Eukaryota; Viridiplantae; Streptophyta; Magnoliopsida; Rosales; Rhamnaceae
Gene name: polyadenylate-binding protein 6-like
Exons: 5
Source: RefSeq, a predicted model, not a curated record
AGUAUACUACUACGGAGACACACACCCCUGACCCUGCCCGAGUCCCAAAACCGUUACAACACACGCACAGCAGAUUCACUCUCUCUCUCUCUCUCUGAGACUCUCUGUUCGAACUUGCUUUCUACAUUUUCUCUGUGAAACCUCUCUGAGUGAUUUUGAAAGAAGAAAGAUGGCAAUUCAGUUCAUGUUCCCCGUUCCGGUUCCGGUGACAACACCAAAUCCAAAGCCAACACCGGAGGCGGAUGCGUCUCUGCCGUGAUUCUUUCACCGGCGACUCCCUUCGCUACGCCUACGUCAACUUCUUCACGUUAUUAGACGCGUCCACGGCUUUAUGUUUUCUCAACCACAAGGAGCUCAAGGGAAAACCCAUAAGAAUCAUGUGGUCACAGAGAUACCCUUUGACAAGAAAAACGGGUAUUGCAAAUCUUUUUGUUAAAAACCUUCACCCAUCCAUCACCAGUGCUCAAUUGCAGACUAUGUUCUCCACGUUUGGGAAGAUAUUAUCUUGCAAGGUCACUGCAGAUAACGGGAAGACGAAGGGUUUUGGUUUCGUGCAAUAUGAUUCUGAACAAUCUGCUAUGGCUGCUCGUAAUGCUCUACAUGGUACACUGGUUAAGGGGAAGAAAAUAUAUGUAUCAAAAUUCGUAAAAAAGAGCGCGAGAACAGUAACCCCUGGAGAAGCUAUGAAGGCUUCACUGCAAGGACAAAACAAAAUUUUAUUUAUAGCAAGGGCUGAGCAGAAGGAGAUUGCCAAUUGCCACAUGGAAAAGCUGAAGGCUAAAAGUCUACCAGUAAAGAACUCAACCCAUCCCGUCCACUACUCUUCUUUCCAAUCAUUGGGAAAGGUAUCCCAUCCUGUACACUACUCUUCUUUCCAAUCUUUUGCAAACUGUUUUGGUACAGAAGUUGGCAUGCAGAGUCCUAUCCCCUUCCCCACAAGUGUAAAGAAACGGCUUUCUUUUCUACCAUUUUUUUCAUUCUGCAAGCUAUUCUUACAUGAUUAUGAAAAUCACAGGAUCUAAUCAAACAGAGACAGCAUAGUAAUACUGGGAAUCAGAGUUUUGUAGGGAAUCCUUUGCGUGCUGCAAAGAUGAAAACAACUCUGUCAAAGUCACAUAAUUCCUUGGCUGAAAGCAAAUGCUAGGACCAGUGUAGAUAUGCCUC